GCAAGGUGUAGCACCUUCCUGAUGUUUGCUUUACCUUGUUUCUUCAGUGACACUUCAUCUCUUUGUUGUCAGAGUUGAGAAAUUAACUUAAAUAACAAUAAAACAUUUUACUGAUGUAUUGCUGAUAUCAACAGUCCAUAUCCUAAAAUAUAAUUCUAAUCCUUUUUUUGCUACACAGUACGGAAUCUGGGUCUGAACCCUUUGGGCGAGGACACAGGGACAGCAGAUGUCCUAUCACGUCUUAUCAUUGAACGAGAGGACAGAAAUAUUCCACCACUUUUCUUCCCCUGUGGCUCGAUUAAAA
Molecule: long non-coding RNA, 304 nt
Organism: Trematomus bernacchii (emerald rockcod)
Lineage: Eukaryota; Metazoa; Chordata; Actinopteri; Perciformes; Nototheniidae
Exons: 2
Source: RefSeq, a predicted model, not a curated record